This is a long non-coding RNA of Vespa mandarinia (Asian giant hornet), 744 nucleotides long. The record is from RefSeq and is a predicted model, not a curated record. NCBI's taxonomy places the organism in Eukaryota, Metazoa, Arthropoda, Insecta, Hymenoptera, Vespidae.
AUUAUUAUUCAACUUUCUAUUCCCUAUUGAUUUAGUUGUAUGGUUACAAUUCCGUAGCACGAAUCGAUAAUACCAAGAAACGUUGUUGCUUACCGCGACACCUGAUCUUAUCUAAUACCUAUAACUCAACCACGAAAUUUAUAUGCAACGAUUCGCUAUAUAAGUUGUCCUCGUUCAAGCAAGCAAGCAAGCAAGCAAGCAAGCGAGCAAGCGAGCAAGCGAGCAAGCGAGCUAGCAAGCAAACAAACAACCAACAAGUUAUUCGUUCCUUCACGAAAAAGGGAUAAAGGACUGUCCUCGAGCCACGUUAUGAGACAUAUGGGAUCCCGUAGGAUAAUAUCCAAUUACCGAACCGAGAAGGCCAUCAACGAGGAGAACGAUUUCUGUCAAAGAGAGGAAAUGGCAGUCUGUACAUAAAGGAAACGAGUUACGGACGGAGUUCUUCGUUAGUACCGGAUGGACGAAUAAUGAGACGAAAUCGACUGGUCGAUAUAUGAAAAUCGAAAAAAAAAAAAAAGAAAAAAGAAAAAGUUGAUCGAUUUUAUUCCCAAGAAGUGCACCAUGUCGAAACGUCAAUCGCAUCGCGAUGCAUCGUAUUAUCAUCGAACGGUACGAAUUUGAUGUAGGAAAAUCGAGGAAAAAAAGAAAAAUUGUAAUUUUUUUUAUUCGCGAAGAGCGUCGUAAAAUGCAUCAGGAUGCAUCGUACUAUCGAAUCGAACGGAUUUGAUGGGGAAAAAUAAAAAA